This 703-nucleotide ribosomal RNA is filed under the name Streptomyces sp. Its description in RNAcentral is "bacterial SSU rRNA". It matches the Rfam family "Bacterial small subunit ribosomal RNA", at positions 51 to 772 of the family's 1533-position model. Lineage: Bacteria; Bacillati; Actinomycetota; Actinomycetes; Kitasatosporales; Streptomycetaceae. The record is from RNAcentral.
ACACAUGCAGUCGAACGAUGAACCACUUCGGUGGGGAUUAGUGGCGAACGGGUGAGUAACACGUGGGCAAUCUGCCCUUCACUCUGGGACAAGCCCUGGAAACGGGGUCUAAUACCGGAUAACACUCCCUCUCUCAUGGGUGGGGGUUAAAAGCUCCGGCGGUGAAGGAUGAGCCCGCGGCCUAUCAGCUUGUUGGUGAGGUAAUGGCUCACCAAGGCGACGACGGGUAGCCGGCCUGAGAGGGCGACCGGCCACACUGGGACUGAGACACGGCCCAGACUCCUACGGGAGGCAGCAGUGGGGAAUAUUGCACAAUGGGCGAAAGCCUGAUGCAGCGACGCCGCGUGAGGGAUGACGGCCUUCGGGUUGUAAACCUCUUUCAGCAGGGAAGAAGCGAAAGUGACGGUACCUGCAGAAGAAGCGCCGGCUAACUACGUGCCAGCAGCCGCGGUAAUACGUAGGGCGCAAGCGUUGUCCGGAAUUAUUGGGCGUAAAGAGCUCGUAGGCGGCUUGUCACGUCGGGUGUGAAAGCCCGGGGCUUAACCCCGGGUCUGCAUUCGAUACGGGCUAGCUAGAGUGUGGUAGGGGAGAUCGGAAUUCCUGGUGUAGCGGUGAAAUGCGCAGAUAUCAGGAGGAACACCGGUGGCGAAGGCGGAUCUCUGGGCCAUUACUGACGCUGAGGAGCGAAAGCGUGGGGAGCGAA